UACGUAGGGUGCAGGCGUUAAUCGGAAUUACUGGGCGUAAAGCGUGCGCAGGCGGUUUGCUAAGACAGGUGUGAAAUCCCCGGGCUUAACCUGGGAACUGCGCUUGUAACUGGCAGGCUUGAGUGCGGCAGAGGGGGGUGGAAUUCCACGUGUAGCGGUGAAAUGCGUAGAUAUGCGGAGGAACACCGAUGGCGAAGGCAAUCCCCUGGGCCUGCACUGACGCUCAUGCACGAAAGCCAGGGGAGCAAACGGG
This 253-nucleotide ribosomal RNA is filed under the name uncultured bacterium. RNAcentral describes it as "partial 16S ribosomal RNA". It matches the Rfam family "Bacterial small subunit ribosomal RNA", at positions 524 to 776 of the family's 1533-position model. The record is from RNAcentral.